Molecule: long non-coding RNA, 601 nt
Filed under: Coturnix japonica (Japanese quail)
Lineage: Eukaryota; Metazoa; Chordata; Aves; Galliformes; Phasianidae
Description: lncRNA (ENSCJPG00005005184.1)
Source: RNAcentral
GUUUGCUUAAAAAAACAUAGUGAUUGGUAAAUUGGUGAUUCUUUUUCUACUAUUGUAUCUUCACAGAAUCACAGAUUCACAGAAUUAUCAAGGUUAGAAAAGACCUAGAAGAUCAUCCAGUCCAACCAUUACCAAUACUUCCCAAUCUUCUCAUUAGUUAAAAAUUUACUUGUGAUAUGGAAAAUGACAUAUCUAAAUAUAAGAGCUUUUCUCAGAGAUGGCUAACGAAGUCGCACAGAUAUAAAUUGGGACUAAAUCCAAGUUUAUGAAUGAAGCUUUAUUGCCAAAAGUGUCAGUGCAUGAUGAUCCUAGAGGACAAAAUUAUCCACCAGUUCCUGUUUGUGUAUCUCCAUUACCACACAUCAAGACAGACAACAGUUAGUAGCUACUAAAGGAAGUACCACAUUUGACCAUUACUAUGACAAUUUAAAGCAAUAGCUGAAGACGCUGCAUUAGGAAUCUGAAAGAGUCCCUAGACACUGUAAUGAAUUUAUUCCACACGGUAGGUAACAACUUUGUCUCUUGGCAUUUAAAUUAUAUGUAGAAGAAACAUGGACUGAAUGACACUCAGUAAAAUAAUGACAAUCUCUCAAUAUGAAAU